GCUCUUGUGGUGUAGAGGUUAGCAUCUGGGAUUUUGAUACCUUUAUCAAGAUCUUCCCGUGACCCCGGUUCGAAUCCGGGCAGGAGCU
Transfer RNA from Aspergillus ruber CBS 135680, 88 nucleotides. It matches the Rfam family "tRNA". Rfam says of the family: Transfer RNA (tRNA) molecules are approximately 80 nucleotides in length. Their secondary structure includes four short double-helical elements and three loops (D, anti-codon, and T loops). The record is from Rfam. Lineage: Eukaryota; Fungi; Ascomycota; Eurotiomycetes; Eurotiales; Aspergillaceae.